UGCAUGGCUGUCGUCAGCUCGUGUCGUGAGAUGUGGGUUAAGUCCCGCAACGAGCGCAACCCUUGCCUUUAGUUGCCAGCAGUUCGGCUGGGCACUCUAAAGGGACUGCCGGUGUUAAACCGGAGGAAGGUGGGGAUGACGUCAAGUCCUCAUGGCCUUUAUGGCCAGGGCUACACACGUACUACAAUGGCCGAUACAAAGGGCAGCGACACUGCGAGGUGAAGCCAAUCCCGUAAAAUCGGUCUCAGUCCGGAUUGGAGUCUGCAACUCGACUCCAUGAAGUUGGAAUCGCUAGUAAUCGUGGAUCAGCAUGCCACGGUGAAUACGUUCCCGGGCCUU
Molecule: ribosomal RNA, 339 nt
Filed under: uncultured Desulfobulbus sp.
Lineage: Bacteria; Pseudomonadati; Thermodesulfobacteriota; Desulfobulbia; Desulfobulbales; Desulfobulbaceae
Description: bacterial SSU rRNA
Rfam family: Bacterial small subunit ribosomal RNA
Source: RNAcentral